GGCCCGGUCGUCUAGCGGUUUGCAGGAUUCGUGACUUUCAAUCACGAGAGCGGAGUUCGAGUCUCCGUCGGGCCUCCACCCC
Molecule: transfer RNA, 82 nt
Filed under: Caulobacter phage phiCbK
Lineage: Duplodnaviria; Heunggongvirae; Uroviricota; Caudoviricetes; Jeanschmidtviridae
Also listed under: 1 other name
Description: tRNA-Glu
Rfam family: tRNA
About the family: Transfer RNA (tRNA) molecules are approximately 80 nucleotides in length. Their secondary structure includes four short double-helical elements and three loops (D, anti-codon, and T loops). Further hydrogen bonds mediate the characteristic L-shaped molecular structure. tRNAs have two regions of fundamental functional importance: the anti-codon, which is responsible for specific mRNA codon recognition, and the 3' end, to which the tRNAs corresponding amino acid is attached (by aminoacyl-tRNA synthetases). tRNAs cope with the degeneracy of the genetic code in two manners: having more than one tRNA (with a specific anti-codon) for a particular amino acid; and 'wobble' base-pairing, i.e. permitting non-standard base-pairing at the 3rd anti-codon position.
Source: RNAcentral